RNAcentral lists this microRNA precursor (68 nucleotides) under Bombyx mori (domestic silkworm). RNAcentral's name for it is "mir-2774 microRNA precursor family". It matches the Rfam family "mir-2774 microRNA precursor family". Lineage: Eukaryota; Metazoa; Arthropoda; Insecta; Lepidoptera; Bombycidae. The record is from Rfam by way of RNAcentral.
CUCUUGUGAGGACCGUCGGUCUACCGAGCAAUAUCACCCGCUCGGUGGAAGAUCUUUCCUUCCGUCGU